GUGAAGGUGGGAACAGCACACUGCCCUCGAUGGCCCGGGGCCCGGGGGCCAAGAUUAAGAGAGCCUCGGAGCUCCCUUCCCACCAGGAAAGCAUCUUCCCCAGAGGGCUAUUUGCUGCUCCUGAAGACCAGCCACUGCGUCUACUGCUGGUGAAUGAAAGCAUUUCUGCUACCGCCUCCCGCGCAAGCCCUCUGCUGUGUCCUCGUCUGCCCCAUGGGUUACUAAUUUCGAGGUUAAUUAUGUGUUGAGCAGCUGCUGGGUGCUUCCUAUGCGCCUACCCUAAGGGUGAUUUUAAAAUGAAAAUUCAUCCAGCUUGUUUACACCUGUGACCGCAAGUGCAGUUGAGCGCAGACUUUGGUGGUGCUCGGGAUCGCAGGGCUGAGCUUGAGGCCGAUUUCAGGCUGCGGCAAGGCGGACACCACCUAGAGUUGUUGAGAGUUGUGCGAAGAGAGGAGUGCCCAGCCACACUGCUGCACAGAGCCCGCAUGCUGCUGCCCCACAACCCCUAUCUGCCACCCGAGGUGACACGGGCUCUGAGCCAACGGUGGCUCACAGGGACCAUUCAGACCCAUCUGGGAGGUCACAAGCUGGACAGGCUGGAACAGGACCAGAAGGGCGGGAUCCACUGCCAAAUCCUCGGGACACAUGUGGAAGCCACACAGAAUGUGAAGUACCAACCUCAGAGCAGAAAUGCAAACCCAGGUUCAUUGUCUAAGCGUGAGAUAGACGCCCACCUUUCUGAAAUCCCUGACGUCAGUGUGCCCGACAGCGCUCAUGGACCUAUCUCCCCUGAGACUCUGGGCAGUCCCCAGCCCAACACCCAGCCAGGGGGCAGCUCCCCUCCCACCCGCCCCCCUCCAUCUCUGCAUUGCAGUUCAUGAUAGCAAGGCAACUGCAGUUGGUGACACACUGCCUCGGGAAGUGAUCUGACCACUUCCCAGGGACACUCCACACUCCCUCAUGCCCGCCCCUUCUCAGAGGGGCUCCACUCUGGUCGGCAGUGACUGCUCGCCACCCACCUGGGAGCUCCUCUCCCUGGCUCUGCAACCAAGGACUGUGCCCAUCUCUGCUCCCAUGUCCCUGCCACCAACAGUUGGUCACCUCUCGUGUUGUCUUCUGCAGUUACCAGCCGGCUGCCACCACUAACCAGUCCACACCCAGGCCAGUGGGUGCAGAUCCGAGGUUAUUAUGAGAACCAAAUGUGAAGGCUUUGCAUUUCCCAAGGUCAACAGUGACAAACUUAAUUGUUGCUUUCCGGUGGAGGAGAUGGAUGUCAAGCGCAGCCCAGCUCCCCACGUGACUAGAAUCACUGUGACUUCCACAAUGACAGACUGCUUUUGUCUCCGUGUUUGAAAAUUCUGACUUUUGCAAUUGGUGAAACCCCGUCAUCAGUCUGCAGACCUUCCCAACAGCACAUGCACCCCGCCCAUCCAGCCUCCCCCACGGCGACCUGGGCAUGAGUGUCCACCUGGGGGCCAAAGCCUUGGGUCAGCAGAGCCUUCGCAACUCCAAUCUCAGUGCCUCAACUCUUGUUCCCCAGCCUGAGCAAUAGGGGAGAGGACAGAACAAGGGGUGCAGUUUCCCUCGGGCCAUGAAGGAGGUACCAGGGACUUCACCCCUAGGCACCUGCUGUGUGCCAGGCAUCUCGCCUUUACUGACAUUAUUCUGGCCAUUGUUUUUGUUUGAAAAAUACUUUGAAGGCAAUGAUGUGGCCAUUAUUCUUGCUAGUUUACAGUUUAAGAACCUAAGCUCAGAAUAGCCUGUAACA
This is a long non-coding RNA of Octodon degus (degu), 1768 nucleotides long. RefSeq lists it as uncharacterized. The record is from RefSeq and is a predicted model, not a curated record. NCBI's taxonomy places the organism in Eukaryota, Metazoa, Chordata, Mammalia, Rodentia, Octodontidae. The transcript is spliced from 2 exons.